Small RNA from Lentisphaera araneosa HTCC2155, 46 nucleotides. It matches the Rfam family "Acido-Lenti-1 RNA". Lineage: Bacteria; Pseudomonadati; Lentisphaerota; Lentisphaeria; Lentisphaerales; Lentisphaeraceae. The record is from Rfam.
CCUAGCUCUCACGAGCCAGGCUGAACUAUACCGUACUCUCGGUACU